This 43572-nucleotide long non-coding RNA is filed under the name Populus tremula. Its description in RNAcentral is "long non-coding RNA (PTRE_LNC002580)". Lineage: Eukaryota; Viridiplantae; Streptophyta; Magnoliopsida; Malpighiales; Salicaceae. The record is from RNAcentral.
UAAAUAUUACGUUGCUUGAUAAUCUAGAUGGCUCAUAUCUAGUUUUUUUUGUUUUUUUUCUUGUUUUUUUUAUUAUCAAUUAUUGCUAUUAUAUUUUUUAUAUUAUUUAAUUUAAAAAUUAAAUCAAUAACUUGAAUUUUUUUUUUUACCCUAAAAAACAUCAAAAAAAAUUUAUCCAGGCCGCGAGGAAUCACGGCCAGCAAAUCUAGUCUAAACUAAAAUGGACUCCUGCUUGUUUUAUCCUCAUAAAAGCUGCCGUUUGAGAGAACAAAUGGGAUGUCCUCCAUGCAUUAGCUGACAUGCGGAAAACCUAAGUUACAUAUUGAUCUGAGUCGUGCAUGCCUUAACUAAUCUCAACCACUUAAACCCUAGCUCUUCCCUUCAUUGUCGUCGUCGUCCUCGUCGUCUGCGAGAAACUCCCCUGAAAUCUUGUUCACUGUCUUGUGUUUGUGCAGGUGGGCUCUAGUUCAUUAUAGAAUUCCUAGUCGUUUCAGUGUAUACUUGGUAAUAACAUGUGAUGGACAAAACCAUACCCCCUUUUCUACAGGCAAAAUAAUUAUCUCGCCAUCAGCCCAAACUCACAAGAAGAAGCUUCGAAUACGCAGAUCGACUACUCAUUUGUGUGGAGUCAUGGGUAAGAAGAAAGAUGAACCCUGUAACUUCCUUCCUUCUAUAUGUAUGAUCGAAAGCAUGCAAAAUCCCAUGUGUUGUUGAAGAUGAAUCAUGCUAGAACGAAGGGUCCGAGAAACCGAAACACACACACCAGGAAAACACCUCUUUCUAGAUACCUGCGCCUAGCAAAUGUUGAAGAACACUGAAGGAGACUAAAGGAGAUCCAUAUUUUACUAUAUAUAUUCAUCCUCCCACAUUUUAUUAUUUAUAUCACUGUUCUUUGGGCAAGUUUAUUUUCUAGGCCAGCAUAUAUAGUGAAAUGGCCAUUUCCUCCGGUUUCCUUUCUAAGGAGCUCGAAGUUUAGAUUUGUUUUAAUUUGGUCAUCAGACUUUAAUAUCUUUUAAUUUAGUCUUUAAAAGUUUUAUAUAUUAAUGUCCAACGUAUCAAAGAUUAUUUUAGGUUUAAAUGGCAGGUUAAUUAAUGUAAACCCUCUUAUAAUUAAUUGCAUAUUGGAUUCUUCAUACAUAUAGUACCAUUUUUAAUUGUUAGUUAGAUGUAAAAGCAUUCAGUUUAGUUUCUUAAACUUUUAUAUUUUUUCAUCUUUGUUCUUUAUAGUUUUUUUAUUAUUUAAAACUUCAUUCUUCUUGGUUGUUGAGAAAUGAGAGAGAAAGUCAGAGAAAGAUACACGUUGGCAACAUACAAAAAAAAAAAAGCCUUGGAAUAGCGUGUGGGCAAACUAUGAUAUAUAUGGUCAAUGUCCUUUCAAUAACACAUCUCAAAUGUCUUUUCACGAUUCAUUACGUUGAACUGUACAUUUUUAUAACUAAACAAUUAGAUUUUAAUGUAUUUUGGCAUUUGAGGUAUCAUAAUUCAUAAUCAAACCUUUGUUGCAUUUUCCCUUGUGAUUGUGUUCCUGAAGAGCCGGAGCUAUAAUUUUUUAAAAAAAUGUUGAAAUUAAUAUUUUAAAUUUAACAGGAUUAAAACCUUUAAUGGCACCAAAAAAAAAAAAAAAUUUAAAUACGCAUAAACUUAACAUCUUAGACUUAAGCUCCGCGCAACCUUGAUUUAGGUUUAUUUUUAUCCCUAACAAGCUUAGGCAUGAACUCAACACUUCUUUGAGAAUUUUUUUAUAAGAUUUCACAUAGAUUUUUUAGUAUUUUAUAUUGAUCUAAUAUAUAUUGUUAUGAAUGCCAUACAACUCAAAAAUAUCAUUUUAAUUUAUAAAUAUCUAAAGAACAAGACUUAUUAGUUAUAAAUAUCUUAUGCAUCCACCAAGUUCAAGGUUCAUAAUUUCUUCUUUCUUAAUAUUUUUAACAUUUAUAUUUUCAAAGUUUAUCUUUUAAAAAUAUCAUUUUAUUUUCUUUUUCUAUAAAAAUAUUUUCUUAAACAUUCGAGAGUCCUCACAUCUAUUAAAAAUAGCUUUUUGCAAGCAUCAUUCACUAAUAACCUUGACUUUUCAGGCACUAAAUACCACAUAUCAACCACUUUGGCUAGGAGAAUGAAUUAGAUUAUUAGAAAAAAAAUUAAUUGAUUAUCCAACACAUAAAUCAUACUCCUAAACUACUUCAAUUUUUUAGGAUAUUAUUAGAAAUAUACAAAUAGCUAAAACGAACAGAUAUAUCUUAACAUAUUAAAUAUUGUAUAAAUACAAAAAUAUAUUAUAGAUUUCUUAAUCAAAAGUGUGGGAAAAAAAAACAUAAGUAAUCACAGAAAAAAAAACACUGAACAUAAAUAAUCAAUGUAACAAGCUAACAAAGCAUAUGGUUUUCUUUUACAUAUACAUCACAUAAACCAAAAUAAUUAAAACCUUGAAAUUUUUUUAUAAUCAAAAUUACAUAUUUAGAAUAAAAAGCAAUGAAUAAAAGAAAAUAAAAACUUACAAACUUCUAGUAAUUUUUUUUUUUGUUUUUACUUGGAUAUCCUCACAACCCUUUAAUUUUUUAAAGGUGAGAUUAGUCUUUUCAAAGUUCAUAACUUCCCCUCUCAAUAAGAAUGCUUUUUAAAAAUCGAACUUGUAUUUUCACUCUUGUAAAAAUACAGCAGUGCCUUAACCGCUAGACCAAUAUUUCAUUGAGUACAAACUUAUAGUAUAUAUCAAAACAUCUACCACUUCUCAUCAUCAUAGUUGUGACCACCAUUAACAUAGAUUUUCACAACCAAUAUAACCAUAAACCAUUUAUCUUUCAUCUCUGUCGCCACCAUUAUCAUCUUGUUUCCAACAUAACUAUCAUCUAAAUACAACCAUCAUUGCCAUUAAUAAUAUCAUCUCACCAUUGAUUAUUUCAUGUUUUUAUUAAGGACUUAAUUGAAAUACUAUAAAGAUAUAAAUAAAGAAAUAACAAGCCUAAUGGGAAACGACCAUCACUUGUGAGUUGUGACAUAAUUCUGGAGCGUCAAUUUUUUUUUUUUUUUUUUCUUAUUGGGAGGUUCUGUACAGAAAGUUACAUUUCAGGUAGCACAAUUGGGACCUAUAUCUCCUUAUUCCACAGACCAGAAGCCUACAGCCACCGGCUCCCUUUACAGGAUGGUAUAAUGUAAGACGUAGCUGUAAGACAAGAAAAAAUGGUAUCUGCAUGACUGAUUAGAUAGAUGAUGCAGGAUUCAUAGCAUAUGAACAAAUCAUUUUGACUUGUCACUUCGAAACAGCUUCAAGAUAUUGGAAACUGUAGCCCGUGGCCAACCUCUAAAAUAUCUCCACUCUAUAUCCCUGAAAAACAAUCACAAGGAAAACUGAGCAGUAGAAUUCCAAUAUUUGAUGCCCCCCCUAACUCGAUCAAGAUAAAAACAACGCAAGAUUUCCAAAAGAAAAUUAAAAAAAAAAAACUUCAAACGAAUAAGUUUAAGAACCCACACCACAAGAUGCAUAAAUAAAAAAAGCCUUGGUGAAUGCAUUAGUUGCACCUUUCACCAAAAGAACUCAAGGAGAAACGCAUCUUCACUUGAUUAACAGGUUUCUUAACCACCAGAAAGUUCCACUUCUACCUUGUUUUUCAAUUGGUUUUGUGCAGGACUCUAGGUAUUAACCAAUAUAAAUACACAAUGAUAUAUCCAAGACUACAUCUUUAAGACGCUUCACAUGCUUUUUCUUUGAGAAGCCGUAUCUUAUUGAAGGCUUCUCCGCUCAGAAUAUGCAACGGGACUUGAGGCCAAGAUUAUUUCUUGAAUGGGAAACGGGGUAAUUCCCUAUCAUAAACUCAACAUCCAUUCCGGUAAAAAUAUAAAUGAAGAUGAUCAGACCAAAAUAGUCUCCAGAAUAAAGAGGUUACAAGCAAACCAAAAUACAAGAAGCUUAGAACUCUCUCAUGUUAAUUAGACCUCCCAACGAGAGACCAAUUUCUUAUAGUUUAGCAAUCUCAAUUUUAUCCCAGAGACACAAGUUAAGCAAUAUAUGGAUUGUACUUAUUGACACAAAUCGGAAAACACUUUGUCAUGGAAAUAUGACAAUAAUGAAGUUUUACAUGAAGAGCUUGUAGCUAAGAACUAAAUGCUGUCAAACAAAGUUGUAUGGCUGCCAAAAGAUUUGAAGUAUCUAAAAUGCAGAAAUCCAGUAUGGAAAAUUGUAUGCAUAUAGGAAUGCAUUGAGAAUGAAAACGAUGCAUAAAUAAUGAUAAUAAAUUUCAAACGCAAUAAACCAUCUAAGAGAAUUCUUCACUACUAACCCAGCAUGAUAUUAAAAUUAAAAGUAUCUCAAAAAAUCUUUUUGAAAAUUUAUUGUAACUGAAUUGUGAUAUCAUUUUCAAUGAUUCCAGCAUACAAAAGUUUAUCAUUAAAGAUUCCAGUUUUUAUUCUUGAGUAAACAUGAAAAUACAGUUUUAGUUCUGGAUCAUUACUCUGAUGAAACAUAAUGAAUGAAACCCAUAGUGGAAGUAUAAGGAAAAUCUAAUAUCAGUAGGAAGAGCAUAAAUAUUAGAAGCAAUUCAACUUUAGACAUGGCUGGAAACAAAAAUUAUGACUUACAGAUUUUCUCUAGGUAACCCCCAUCUUUGUUGCACGAGAACAAUCUUCAGUAACAGGAGAGCCUCCUUUCACGGAUAAUCUUGUUGGUUUGGUACCAUCACUCCUGCCCUUUUCAAAUGUAAACUCGAGUUGUCUCUCCACUGACUUGAAGACAGCAGUCCGUUUGGAUCUUAAUCGAUAUGGAGGAGAAGCAUUAAAGGGCUUAUCAUUAGGCCGAAUAGUACCAUUACCCAAAGAAGCAGGACUCUCACACAAACUUCCAUCUUGAGCAGCUGUCUUUUCCAAAGUAUUUUCAAUUUUUUCAUGUUCAACAGACAUGUCUAACCUGUCUUUGACGGUUUCCUCACCUGCUUUCCCAAUUUUACUAGGAAGCAGAUCCACUUGAGCAGUCUUCCUCUUUCGAAAUAUUGAAGGGGUAUUAGGGAAGCUCAUGGCAGCAAUUCUCAAUAUAGAUUCUGGACUUUGUGCACUCAAAUCACGACUCUUUACACAAGGUGGGGUGAAGAAAAUAAUAGGAGAUGAAACUGGGCAAGAAUUGUUCUCAUGCUGCACGCUACCAGUGUUUGAAGGAUAUGAAUCCAAUUGUUCUACUAGUGGUGGCUCAUAAUACAAAGAACCAUAAGUUGACCUGUCAAACUGCAAUCCAGACCCAAUACCUUUGUCUUGAUGAUCUUCAAACUUUUGCUGCAACUCUGAAUCACAGCAGCUAAGAUCUACAGAAUCAGCAUACUCAUUUGGAAGAGCACUUGAUGAAGCUGCUACAUCUAGCACCAAUGUAGACUCUAACUGAUCUUUUCCAUCUUCAUCUAGCUUACAUAUAUCAGUAGUUCCUGACGAAGUUUGGGCAGCUGAAUCUGAUUCUUUCAUUGUUUUCAUCACAGCUGAUUUAUUCGUAUCUUUAGUUCCAUUUUGGAAACCAUUCUUUGAAAUUGGAGGUAGUUUCCCCGUAGACAGAUAAAAAUCUAAUUUUUUCUUCAAGGAACUAUUCCAGUGGUUUUUAAUUGAAUUAUCAGUCCUGUGUAUAGAAAAGUUGAGAUAAAUUAGUGUAGCUUGAAAUAUCCAAAUAUAUAAGCUGUUCACACACACACACACAUCUUGGAGAGGAAUACAUGACAUGGCAAGCUGUUGUUUUUUACUAUUUAAUUAGUAACAUUAUCCUGAGCCAUGUCUAGGUUUAUAGCAAUGUCUAACUCCUUGUACAAGAAUGAGGCAUUAGACCCAUAGACCCUUAACAAACCAAAAGUGGGAUCAGACAUGCAACAAAAGGAACUUUAUAUGAAUUUUUGUAUUUCGAAUAUACUGAAUUGAUCACCUGUAUGAUAUUACAAGAGGAUCAUUGUUGAGAUUCAAAACACAUUUUUCUUUCAGUUAUAGCUUUGAUUCAGUCACAAUAAGCCCGGUACGAAAUAUAUAGACUUCUAAAACCAUAAUACAUCUUAGAUAGCAAAAAUAAAAAGUCAUUGCCUGUAUUAAAUUAACUCUAAUUACCAAGACGCAUUCUUAAUCAAAUCAAAUCAAAUUGGCAACCAGGCAUAAAUGACAAGACAAAAUAUUCUCAUUCAGAAAGGAAAGAGUAAUUUCAUAUAAACUCCCAAGCAUAAUAACAAUAUCAAUGUACAAAAUUCACUUUCAAAUAAGCUGGAUCCUCUUUUGAGAUCAACACUACUGCAUGAAUCAGCAAAUUUAACAUUCUGCCUACCCUGCUCAGAAGAAUGUGAGCAUCAAAUAUUCAAACGAAGUUACUGAAUUUAGCAACUAAUUUCCUAUAAAACAUAAAAUCAAAAUCAACAUAGAAACUAAAUUUCCCUCAUAGUUUUUACAAAUUAUGCAAGGGUACCUUCCAGGCAGAACCUUUGCUAUUUCAGCCCAUUUGUUUCCAUAUAUCCGAUGGGCAUUCAUGAGUGCCAAUUCCUCCUCCAAUGUCCAAGCAUCCUUUUUUAUAUCAGGAUUCAAAUGAUUGUGCCACCUGCAAAUAUUCCAAAUAAACUUUCACUGGUGUAUAAAUUUAUGCUAACCCCCACUCGAUGACUGAAGGUACUGAAAAGAUCACAUAAGUUUUCUGGCAUGAUAACCACAACAUGCAAGAAAUAAGUUAAGUAUUAGAUUAUUGGUCAGGUAUAUGAUUUUCAACUGUUGUAGGACCAUGUUUCCUGUUCCAGGGAGAAAGGAGGUUGCUGUGCCACUAAUUGUGUUGUGGAUGAAAAAAUAAAAUGAAUCAAUCAGCAACCUUCUUAAACAAAAUCAACCUGAAUUCAUAAUGAGUAAAAGUUACCUCUCUCGGCAUUGCUUCCCUAUACGACCAGGUAAAGCUUUUGCUAUGACAGACCAUUUUGUGGGUCCAUAUUUUGCUACCAGUUCAACAAUUUUAUCAUCCUCCUACAAGCAAAAAGAGCAGAUAUUUUAGUGCGUAGUUAUAGUCUACAACAAGAGAUACAUUACAAAAGGAGGUGCCGACCUCUUGAGUCCAAGGUCCUUUAACAAGUUCUGGAUCAAGAACCUUCUGCCAUCGAUGCAGACAUUGCACUUCUGAUCUAUCAGGAAAAAACUCAGCUGCAUAACAUCAAAAGUAGGACCAACUUAAGGUAUUUGACAAGAAUAUUACACAGAAAACUAACACUUUUAACUAUUUAUCCAUGUGUAUAUUAUCUUAUUGUCACAUGUAAACCAUUUUUUUAUUCAACACAAACAAGGAAACAGUCAUUUCAGACUCCAAACAGGUCCUCCAGAUAGAGAAGGUUAUUGGAAACAACCAGCAACUUGCUUGAAAUGGACAUGAACAAGCUCUUUCCAUAAUUGGAGAAAACAAGCACUGCUCACAGAUUGUGUGCGAGUAUGUGGUUUGGCUCUGGCAGUGUUAACAACUAAAACAGUAGAGCCUAAAUCUAAGUUCAUUCAUGCUCUAAAAUAUUCUCUCACAUGAAUCUUCUGCCAUAAUUCAGAACCACCCACAAAUCUAAACAGAUUUAGGGUGACUUGGACACUAGGUGCAAGGAAAAAAUUCUAAGAACAAAUUUAAUUGAUUCCUAUAACAUUCUUUCAGUAUAGCCCCACAAGUAGAGUUUCCUCCUUGUCAAGGGUGAAGGGUGAAGUAACUUUUUGAUUUUAGUGGGGCACCCAGAUUGACUGGGGGUGAAUCAAAAGGCAGGAGAUAGAUUAGUGUCAAAUUUUUGAGGUUAUUUGCUAAUUAACUCAGCAAAUAUCAUUGUAAACCGCAAAUGAUUAAGUUUUGGACUUCGCUUACAACGUAUUUAACCUCUCUCAUUAAACACUUUACAAGUAGAAAAGGAGUGUUGUUACUUCUGAACUCUAUUACUACGCUCCUUACUUUUAUUUUUUUGUGGAUUGAGAAUUGGACCGAUCUGGUUUUCUAAUAAAAUGUGCACUGAUGAAUUGUGAGACCGAAACUUUUCUCUCUUGCACUUUCUCAAAAAACGUUUUUGUAUCAUGUUUCUUUGUUGAAGUAAUGAGACCGAUGUGGUUAGCCUUAUAUUCUUUUAACAGUAUUUUGAAUCUUUUUAUUAGUUUGAAAAUUAAAUUAAGACAGUCAGAUGCAUAAAAAUUGUUUUUGACAAGGUGCUAAAUUACUGAAUGAUGGCUCUGGAAAAUAUUCCUAGCUAUGCUACUGACUCUGGUUAUGCACUUACAGUUCCUAGGCUGCCAUAAUUCUCUUUGGGUCAGCCAGAGACAGUUUCUUUAUUUUCCUAGAUCUACUUCAAAAUACAUUUUACAGGAUCUUCACAACUCUACGAGUCUCAGCUAGCUCAAGUACAUUAUCCAAGUCUCACUGUGACUUUUAAAGGGAACUGUACAUGAAGCAUGAACAAUAGGCAAUGCUGAAACAGAAAGCCAUAAAAAAAAAAAAGAAUCGAGAAUAAUCAUCUCUGUUGCUAAACAAGUUUUAGACAGGCACUUCUGAGUUAAGAAAGAGACCUAUUUUCUUCCAACUUUUCCCCUUAUAAGUUGCAACAGCAGUUCUUAAUGUCUCAUCCUGUAACACAUUAAAAAGGUUGUCAGUAGCAAUUGGAUUUUAGCACAAUACUCCAUAACAGCAGAGAAGCCACAGCUGACAGCUGAACACUAACAGAGAUCUAGCUAUAUUGUGGAUGCUCAUGAUCAUUGUAAUGAUCAUACUAUCAUUAAUAAGAGGAUAAAAAUAACACUGAAAACUAGUAAAGCAUCAUGCUGGUCCAGGUUUAGAAAUGACUCAACCACUGACUUGGACCAAACCCCAACCUCCAAUAAGCCAACAAACAACAACACCUUCUCGCAUAGGAAUUAAAUAAGUCAAGGAAAGCACUAACCUCCUCCGGAGUCCAACCACCUUUGGCUCUCCUAAUUGGGCCUGUAGUUCUUCUGCAAAUCCAAAUUCUCAACUCAUAAUUCUCAAACAAAAAGAUCAUACACAUAAAGCAUUUGAAUUCAAAACAAGAUCAAGGAAAACAAAAAUAGAGAAUGAAUAAUUCAAAGCGGAUAGACAUAAAGUAAUAAAAAUACCUUCUAAAAAACGGGUAAAAGAGAAUUAACGGAUAGUAAGUGACCUGUUAGUCGGCGAUACCGUGGCUGGACUAUAAACUCCGGGAGACUUAAGAAUAGCACUGCCACUACCUUCUUCAGAUUGAGAGGAGCUCGAAGCGGGUGUUAAUUGCUUGUUUUCAAGGCAGCGCUCUUCUAUCUUUAGUUCAUCCAUCUCCUCUUUCUACAACCAUCUCCAAAAUCCAAAAUCAUAAUCAACAAAUACAUAAAUACAUACAUGAAUUCGUACUACUUAAAUCAAAUAAUAAUAAUAUCAGUAAAAUAUAGAGCCCUAAAAUAUAUUUAGCAAUACAAACAAAACCCAGAUCUUAAAAAACACCGAUUAGAUCAAAAAACCAGAAAAUCAUAUUCAAUUCUACCGUUUCUUAAUCAAAUCACACAUACUUUAAAGCUAAUAAUCGUUCGAUAUCCAAAUCAGUUAAACGAUAAAAAAACAAAACUGACCUCUGCUUCAAGAGAAGUGGCGGGAAUUGAAGAGGAACUCAUCGACAUCGAGAGAGAGAGAGAGAGAGAGAGAUAGAGAGAGAAAGAGAGAGAAAUAAAUAAGGAAGAAAGAAAGGAAGGGAAACGUCUCUCUCUGACUCCCAGAGAAAACAAAACAAAACCAAACCUUGCCCGUUGAAACAAAAUAAAAAAUAUAUAUAUACGACCAGACCGUAAAUUUGUAUGUAACGAAUAUAUUUUGCGCCGACCGUCUCCGUUAGUUGCCGUUAUAGACUGCUUUCCUUUCUAGCAUUUUUUUUCUUCCUUUUUUAAGGUUUUGAAAACCCUAUUUGUUAACGGUGCUUGACGGUUCUUUGUAAGCCCAAAGUUUGAACCUCAAACGGCACUCUAGUUAUUGCGUUAAAUCUCGAAUUGGUCUGGGAUAGUGGGUGUGAAAGGCCACCCGUUCGCGGGUGUUUCUUGACCGUUGGAUUUGGAAAUAUAUGAUCGAGGUUUAAGUGACGUUUUUCCAAGUAAAGAUACGUUUUAACUGAUUUAGGGUUUUUUUCUCUUUUUAAAACCAGAUGGAUUUAGUUUUAUAAUUAUCUGUUAGUUGUAGAGAUUUAUACGAUCUCUUUUAUUUUUUACCUUUUUUUAAUGGAACUUAUAUUUGUUUUUUAUUUAAUAUCAGUUUUCGCCCCUUAACUAUUGAAGUUGUAGCGCUUUAAGCCUAUGCUAUUGAUUUAGCCCAGUUUUGUCCUUAAACCAUUAUGUUCUUGACAAAUAUCCUCCCUCUACUUGAUUUAACUGAUAGAUCGAUGGGUCAAACUUUCACUAUUGGUCAAAACUCAUUCUAAAAAAAACAUAUCUUGAUAUUUGCAACUGAAGUUUUACACAUGCUAAUGAAACUUCAAUCCAAUUUCAUAAAUAAUUUCAAAGAUUUUUAAAAUCAAAAGAUAUUUUUAUUUUUUUGAAUAAUAAAAAAUCAGAAAGUUGUGAAACAAAUAUAAAUAAGCUAAAAUUACAUCAAAAAAAAUUAAAGCUCGGAAUAGUUCAUAUGAAUUUACGUAGAUACUUUUAGAUCUUGUUUGGUAGCGUGGUUGUGAUUAUUUUUCAAAGUGUUUUUCAUGCUGAAAUGCAUCAAAAUAAUGUUUUUUAAAAAAAAUUAUUUUUUAGUUCAUCACAUCAAAACGAUUCAAAACACAUAAAAAAAUUAAUUUUUAGCAAAAAACAUUAUAUUUUUUGGAAACAGGGUUUACGCUGCAUUUUCAAACUGUGUCUAGUGUGGUUCUCAAAAUUAUUGUUUAUAUGUUUACCAAAAUCAACCUAUUUUAAACUUGGUUUGGUGUUAUGUGUCUGACCAUAUAAACAUUUUGAGAAUCAUGCAAUGGAUAAGCAAAUAAUUUAUAUGAUUUUUUUGACUCCUGGGCAAAACUUGGGAUCGUUUCAGGGUUUUUUUUUUUUGUUAAUAUUUAAUGUUUAAGAAAAUCUAAAUAGGCUUCUUAAACUCAAAAUUUAUAAAAUUAUUUUUGAAAAUAAAUUGAGUUUUGCUAGCAGAUAUGAAAAUUUUAAGCUCAAAAUACCAAAAAAAAAUAAAAAACAAAAUUUGGGAUCAUUUCAAUUUUUUUUAUUUUUUUAAAUAUUUAAUGUUUAAGAAAAGUUUUAAAAAGCUUCUUAAACUCAAAGUUUCUAAAACUAUUUUGAAAAUAGAUUGCAUUUUGGGAGCAAAUAUGAAAACUUUAAGCUUAAAAUACCAAAAAUUGAUAUUUAUUUUUAAAAAAUAUAUAUAUUUUUAAUCACAAUAUUUGUUCAAAAUAUGAUAAUUCAAAAGCAAAAUUAACCAAAAUUUUAAUACAAGCCUCAAUAGUUCAAUAGUUUAGAGAAAAAAAUAUUGGUAAACUUUUAUUUUAUCAUGAAACUUAUAUCUUCUUAUAGUUAACUCGAGUAGAUUGUCAUGAUUGUUAAAUAGGUUUUUUUAGGGAUGAUUAUUUUCGAUUCGGUUUGAUUUUUAUCAAAAAAAAUAACCAAACUAAAUUUUUAAAAAAAUAAAAACCGGUUUAAACCGACUGGUUCCAGUUCGGUUUGGUUUUUUUAGGACAAAACUGGUUCAAACUGGUUUGACUCGGUUUUUUCAGUUUGGCUUAGUUUUCCAGUUUGAUUCAGUUUUUUUCUGGUUAGGCUUAUAAAAUUGAACCGGUCAGUUUUUUAAAAUUUUAAUCGGUUUAAUCAGUUUUUUUUUCACGGUUUAAUUUUUUCGGUUAUUUUUAUUCUAAUUUUCUUGAUUUAAUUAGUUUUUCAUUUUUUUUUUAAUCAUCCUUAUAUUUUUUUUAUGUUCUAGGUUCAAACCUGUGGUAUAUAUGCCUUUAGGAUCAUUAGAAAAAAGAGAGGAAAAAUAAAAACUAGGCACGGCCCGCGUCACAUCUCAAGUCCACAUUUUUUUUUUGUAAAAACCAAUUUCUAGGUGCCUCCAGCACGUUUCAAAGAAAUAAAAAAACCAAUGAGCCAACCAGUUUUAUUAAGUUGGAUCUAAUUUAAUUAGAUGAUAAGAUAAAACAGGCAAUUAAAUGGAUUAAAAAAUAUAUUUAAAAAAGAUUAUAAUAAGCUGGAAAAAGAAUCUUUAGAAGAGAGAAAUUGGAUUUAAAAAAUAAAAAUAAAUUGCUUAAGUCAAUCCAAGAUAGUAUGAUAGAUAUGUAAUCUAGGUAAGUGAGCUAACCCAAGUUAACUUACAAAACCCAUGAUUCAUGUCCUGAGAUCGAGAUAACCCAAUAAAAUUUUUUUUAAAAAAAACCACAAAGCUAAUUUUGUUUCUUAAAAAAAAAAGUCAAUGCCAAGCAAUGAAAUUAAAAAAGAAAAUAAGCUAAAAAAAGAUGUCGAUUUAUGUUAACUUUUCAGACCCAUGACCUGGGUCAUUAAAUUAGAAGCGACAUAUAUAAAAAAAAAUUAUGAAACUAAAUUUCUAACAAACCAAACGCUAAAAGAUGAAAUCGAUGAAAAAAUAAUAAUUAAAAGAAUCAUGAUGAAAAUAAAAAUAAAAAAAUAAAUUAGAAGAAAACUAUAAUUUUUUGAUUGAAGGGUUAAACUAAAAAGAAAAAUAACUUCAAAUUUUUUUUAAAAAAAUAAAUAAUAAGAACAAAAAAAAAAUGUCUCUAUCAAGAAAUGCUCUUAUUCUUCUCCUACCACAGUUCAAUUUAGCAUGGUGCUUCAAAAGUGGUAGGUUCCAUUAAUAAUAUAUGGAGGUUAAUUUAAUCAAAUUCAUAUAUAGUAGAGUUACCUCUUAUAAUUUUUACUGGUUAGUAGCUCAUGCUCUCUUGCAAGUUGUACCAAUAUAUUUUUUUAAGUGUAAAAAAAUAUGUUGGCACUACUAGUGUAUUUUUUAGCAAGAAAAAAAAUUAAUUACGAAGGCAAAAUUUGUUACAUACAAUUAAUAAAAUAGAUCGAGUAUCAUAUAUGAUCAUAAAUAUUAAAAAGAACUACUAAAAUGAAUUACAAAUUAAGUCAUGAAGAUAAGAAACAAAUACAAGUUAAGACAUUUGAUCUCUGCGGAGAGAUAGUUGGGAAAUUGGUUGGGAAUUUUUAACCCAAAAAAACCUUUUUUCAACCUAUUUAAACAAAGUUAGAUGAUUGUAGUAGAAGAAAUUAAAGGACAAGAAAAAAAAGAGAACUGUCAUUACAAUUUGCAUUUAACCUACCUUCAUUAUGUCAUGGACUAUAUCAAAAAUUAAUGCAAAGAAAGUAAUAUUUUAAUAAAUUUCAAUUAAAAUCAAAGACCCAUUGAAUUGGGUCCUUUUUUGACCUAGGGUUAUAAUAAAAUUAUGUUAAAGUUGACUUCAUAUGACUUAUUUAGCCCAUCAAAAACCUGAUUUAAUUAGAAAAAAAUUAAAAUGAUGGCAUUUUAACAAUGUUUUUAAAAUAUUGAGAUAAUGAUAACUUGGAUUGACCUAGAUUAACAUGUCAAAUACAUGACUUGAUUAAGUCAAAUAACUUUUUUUAAAAUAAUUAUUUAUUUAACAAUAAAAUAAGAAAAAUAAGAAUGCUAAAAAAACCGAUUGAAUGUUUUAAAAAAACAUCAUUAUGAAAGAUUGUACAAAAAAAAAAACACUUGCUAAUAUAUAUAUAUAUAUAUAUAUAUAUAUAUAUAUAUAUAAUAUAUAUAUAAAGCUAUGAUUCUAGUUAAAAAAAAAGGUGUAAAAAUUGAAUGGUAUUCAAUAAAAAAAAUCUCUAAUAAUAUUUCUUAAUCAAUAUAUUUUAAUGAAUUUAAAUUAAGAUUCCAAUAUAAAAAAAUGACAAAAAAUAAAGGAUUGGUGCAUAGGUUUGGGUGGAUUAAAGCAUUUAAUCUAUAUAAAAAGUCAAACUCUUAGGCCUAAACUUUUUGUUUAUUUAUUUAUUGGUUCUAGGAGCGCCCAUAUUGUCUGCUUUCUCAGUUUUUAACCACUAGAGAGGUGGUUGGAAAAUCAAACUUGGAUUUUCAGGAUUUAAAAAAAUAUUUUUAAUCUAUUUUCAUCUAAAAAUAUCUUUAUAACCUAAAUUAAUCAAUCUAUAAACUCAAAAGAAUCCAAAAAUUAUUCAAAAGCAUAAAAUCAAACUGGUAGAAAAACAAAUCUCGCUCAACCCCAAUCUAGUUUUUCCAUCAAUAUAAAGGAUAAACAACAUCUUUAUGGAGUUUUUAUUAUCAAAUAAAACAUGUGGACACUAGAAAUAUAUUUUUUGUUACUAGAGCAUAGUUAAUCAACAACUUUCUCUUUUCUUUAUUGUUUUUAAAUGAGUUUAUCUUUUUUGUUUAUCAAACUCAAAUAUUAAAAAAUAAGUAAAAUAAAAUUUUAAAUCAAAACAAAAAAAAUCCAAACUAAAGGAAUAAAAAGAAAAAAAUCAAAAUAAAGGGAUAAAAAAUUAGAUAUGCCAAAUUUUGUAGGCAAAAAAAUUUUUUAAAAAGCACCGACAUAAACCGUGAACCAAAAAAAACAAUGAUAACAAAAUAGAAAGAAAAAAAAAAUCACCAAGUCUAAUUUUUAUAAAAUGAGUCGUGGUUAAAUGAAAUUGAAAACAAAAAUAUUUUAUCACCGACUAAAAAAGAGAAAUACUGUUGAAAUACACAAUGUAAUGCAUUGUACAGCCACGAUGAGUAGUUUUACGUUUUCGUUAUUUUUUAGCCGACAAUGCCUAGGUCGAUUCUUGCGUUUUAACCUGAUUUGGCUGAAGUUAUAAUGCAAAGUAAAUCUUCUUCUUCUUCUUUUAUAUAUAUAUAUAAAAUGACCACUAAACAAGCCCGAUCCCUUAACUUGUUUUGUUCAAUAAAAUUUGAUUCAUGGGUCAAUGGAUUUAUGGCAGAGAUCCAACUCUUGCCACAACUUCCUAAUCUUUCCUACAUUUUUUUUAUUUUUUCGUUAUUUACUAUAUAUUUUGAGAUAUAGUAAAAUUAUCAAGCCUUUUGAUCCAAAAAAGUUAAGCCUUUUGGGAAUAGUUUCGAAACCCGGUCCGGCGAGUCGAACUGGGACUUGGCUAAUUAGAAGCUGGAACCGGGCCGGGUUGAAGAAAAAACAGGGGAAGGAAAAACCCAGUGUGACCUGGUAAACCAUUUGACCUGGCAAGACCUAGUUAUAAACCCGUUGUCUUUUAUUUUUAUUUUUAUUUUACUAAAACGACAUCGUUUUGAUUUUUUUAAAAAAUUUGACCCGGCCGACCCGGUCAAAACCCGAAACCCUGGCCUUGGACCGGGCCGGGUCUUAAAACUAUGCUUUUGAGUGAGGGCCAUGAUGUUUUUUUAUUUUUUACACGGUAAAAAUAUUGUUUCACCUAUAAAAUCAAUAAAAUAUAGAACUGUUAACAAAAAAUUUUCUUACCUUUGCAUAAGUUUCUUAACAGAAAAAUACAAAUUUUCCCUCAUGGUCAAAAAAUUAUUGUAUUGUUAGAUAAGAAUGUUUUGGGGUUUACAAAUUUUACUAUACAAUGCAAAUACAUCUUUAAUCUUGGAAGAGACAAAACAUAAGCUUAGCAUUUUGGGGCAAUUUUUAUACUUUCAUAUGGAUAUUUUAUGUAAUUUUUAGGGUCGUGUGGGGCAUUUUGAAACUUUUAACAUUUUUUUUAAAAAAUUAAUGUUUAAAGUUGUUAGAGCGUGCUUAGCAUGUUCCAGCGCGUGAAUGGCAUACACGGCAUUCAGUCUGCGUGUGUGAAACCACUCAGUGGACAUAACUAGUCAUUCACCGCCUCCUUAAAUGCACAAUCAUAUCCUUUUCCAUUUAAAGUGGCACAUGACAGUUUACAAUUGUUGGAUUAUCGUCGGUGGUUGUUUGAUUUUUCCCCCUCUCUCCUGACAUGUAAUGUACAUCAUUAUCCUUUUUAUUUCUUACUUUUCAAUUCAGUCCCUAUUCUAUUAAUUUCUUAUUUCGUUUCUAUUUCAUUUAUAGAAGUUCUAAUUCUUUUUAAUUUAGUUCUUCAAUUGCAAUUUCUAUUUGGUUUUUUCAUUAGUUCUUAUUUUUUAAAAUUUCUAAUUUUAUCCUCGGUAUUUUUGUUGAAGUUUCUUUUCUUUUAAUUUCAUCAUUCGAUCAAAUUUUAUGUUGUUUUAUUUUUUAUAAUUUGACUCUCAUUAUUUUUUUUCUUUUAUUAAAGCUAUUUUUUAAUUCAAUUAAACCCUCCAAUUGAAAAUUUAUAUCCCUCUAAUUCAUGUUUGUUUCUCAACCUCAUUUUUUGGAUCCUUUAUGUAAUUAAUUUUUUUCUCAGUUUCAUUUUCGACAUGUAGUUUGUUAGGAUUUCAGCUUCGUAUAAUCUUAUUGUUUUGCAUUAAGUUUUUUUUUUUUAAUUUUGAUUUUUUGAUUAUCUUCAACUUUUUAUUAUGGAUUUAUUAUAGUUUCAUGACAUAGAUCAUGAAUUUCGCAUGUAUUUUUUUAAUAUAAUUUUUUUUAGUUGUUUUGUUUCUAUUUUAUUUUUCAAGAUAUUAUUCUAAUUCAUCUAUAAUUUUUUUAUACAAAUAAAAUUUAUUUUUUAAAAUAAAAAUGUUCGUUUUAAAUUAUAUUGCUGAUGUGUCCGGUCUUGUAUAAUAUUUUUAAUGACGUUGGUUUAUACGAGCAGUUUCAUUUAUAUUUAUCUUUUAAGUUAUGAGUUUUUCAGAUAUUAGAUAUAUCUUUUAUUUAUCUAAAUAAAUAAGUUUAGCAAACACAAUCAAAUGCAUGUUUUAUUUUAUGUUAUGGAUAUCUUGAUCUUGUUUACAUAGACUUUUUAGUUUAUAUUUUAAAUUUUUUUAUGUAAAAAAUCACAUUGAAGCAACCUGUAUACCUGGUAUGUUUUUUGGAAAAAAAAUUAUAAUCCGGGUUAAAUAGCUAGGGUAUAAUAUACACCGCAACAACCCUUUAUUCCUAUACUAUAUUAUGGAAAUACUCUUGCUCAGGUCUUUUACAGGGAAUCAAGGAGGCAAACGUUAAUUUUAUGUCCACUCGUCAAAAAUUCUGCUAAUGUUUAUAUCACUAAUUAACGGAUUAAAACAACGUUCCCCGCCAUGCUGUCUAACAUGACCAUGAUACCUUUUCUUGACUGUACGUAUCUGCAAACUUCACAUUCCAUCAUGCCACUUAACCAUAAAUCCUAUAUAUGAAUCCUACAAAACAACACUUUGGUAUUCACCUACCAAAUCGAGAGGUUUUAUUAUUUGUCCGGAAACAAGAAAGGAUCAAUGGAACUUCCCUUCAUCUCCCUGCUUCCCUAUGGAAUCCUCUUCAUCAUCUCUGCAGUUUCACUAUAUCAUACCUCAUAAACAAACACAAAUAUUCUCUCUCCUCCCUCAACAAUCUCCCGCCUGGCAAUACCGGUUUGCCAUUAAUCGGUGAAAGUCUGGAGUUCCUGACCACGGGGUAAAAGGGUCAGCCGGAGAAGUUCAUAUUAGACAGAAUGGCAAAGUUCUCAUCCAAAGUCUUCAAAACCUCGUUGUUUUGUGAACCAACUGCAGUAUUUUGUGGUGCAGCAGGGAACAAGUUCUUGUUCUCUAAUGAGAAUAAGCUUGUCAGUUGUCACUGCAUGGUGGCCUGAUUCUGUCAACAAAAUCUUCCCUUCCUCUCAACAAACUUCUUCACAAGAAGAAUCCAAGAAAAUGAGAAAGCUUUUCCCGCUGUUUUUCAACCCAGAAUCACUUCAAAGAUAUAUCAGUGUAAUGGAUGUGAUUGCACAAAGGCACUUGGCAUCUGAUUUGGAAGGCAAACAGGAAGUCAGUGUUUUCCCUCUGGCUAAGACGUACACUUUUUGGUUAGCUUGCCGCUUAUUUCUAAGCAUGGAAGAUCCUGAGGAAGUCCAAAAGGUUGCCAAACCCUUCAAUGAUUUAGCCGCUGGGAUUAUAUCCAUACCCAUUGAUUUGCCCUGGACACCCUUUAAUCGCGGGGUCAAAGCAUCAAAUGUGGUGCACAAGGAGCUUCUAAAGAUCAUAAAGUAGAGGAAGAUUGAUCCAGCGGAGAACAAGGCAUCCCCCGCACAAGAUAUACUGUCCCAUAUGCUAACCACAGCUGACGAUGAUGGGCAAUGCAUGAAGGAGAUCGAUAUUGCCGAUAAGAUACUUGGUUUGCUUGUUGGAGGUCACGACACAGCCAGUGCUGCUGUAACUUUUAUUGUCAAGCAUCUUGCAGAGUUGCCUCAUGUCUACACCUAGCUCUUGGAAGGUAAAAUAAAACUCCAGUAUGCAUGUAUAUAUACCUGCAAAUACUAUAUGUGUGUGUGUGUGUGUGAUUAAACAUUGUUGGAUGACAGAACACAGAGAGAUUGCAAAAACGAAAACACCUGGAGAGCUGUUGAAUUGGGAGGACAUACAAAGGAUGAGAUAUUCAUGGAACGUUGCCUGUGAAGUGAUGAGAGUUGCUCCCCCACUCCAAGGAGCUUUCCGAGAGGCCAUGACCGAGUUCAACCAUGCAGGUUUUACAAUUCCAAAGGGAUGGAAGGUCAGUUAAUUAUCCAUCAAGAUUAAUCGAUAUUAAUUUGUUUUAGCAAUUAGCAACUGGCAAAAUACGUCUUCUGAUGUUGAGACCAACUGGCAGCUGUAUUGGAGCGCAAACACUACACACAAAAAAUCCUGAAUGUUUCCCUGAGCCAGAGAAUUUUGACCCAUCAAGAUUCGAAGGCAAUGGACCGGCCCCAUACACCUUUGUUCCAUUUGGAGGAGGUCCUAGAAUGCGUCCAGGCAAAGAGUAUGCUCGACUGGAAAUACUUGGUUUUCUUGCACAACUUGGUGAAAAAGUUCAGAUGGGAGAAGCUGCUUCCUAAAGAGAGGAUAACUGUAGAUCCAAUGCCAAUACCUUCGACAGGCCUUCCGAUCCGCCUCCACCCUCACGAGGCUGCCUAAAUCAAACAAAUAUCAAAUUAACUUCCUUUUUGUCUCUAUUCAGCUUGUGUCCAAAGGAAUCGAUGUUUAGAGCAUCGAUUAGUUUAUCAUUGAUUCCAUUUCAAUUCAAAUGCUACUUGUUCAAACCGGGAGUGUCAUCAGGCCACGAAAGGGCUUAAACAGGAUUUUGCAGCUAAGUACUCCACUGAAAUACAGAUAACAAAAGUAUGACCUAAAUAUGAACGUGGAGUAAGAAUAUCAAGUCCUCCACAAAAGUCGUUGACCAGUGUGCACCAAAAAAGAAUCCUCCUCUCUCGAGGAAUUUCACACUUCUAAACAUAGAUUUUCUUGACAGAUAUCACCGUAAAUCAUUGAUCUCCGGCUGCUCUCAAAACACACUAUCACGGAGCGAUCCUCAGCGGGUCACGAGGGAAAAGGGAUGUUUUACGAAUGUUGUUCAGACCACAGAAUAGCAUCACCACACGCUCCAACCCCGCUCCAAACCCACCAUGAGGAGGGGCUCCAUAUCUGUAAAAAGAGCAACCAUGGGAAUCCAUCAACAGGCAAGGAAAAAGUUCCACUCCCUUUCAUUUAUGAAGGCUAAUACGAAGAAAACAACCAAGAAAAUCAGACUCCACAAUAUAAUAAAUAAAAAAUAAAACGAUUACUUUUAUCCCCAUUAAUUUAUGUAACACAUGAAAAUAUAUUAAAGAUGAUACACCAUAGAAAGAAAACAGCUCAAAAGAAUUAUCAACUCAACUAACUACAGAUCAUUCUCAGCAUUUUUCUGAUACUCCUUUUUGGUUCAUUUUUUACUUUUAUAGAUAGCGAAUGGAAUUCAAUAUAUCAAACAUUCUGUAAUAUAUAUUUUCUUGCUCCUUGUUGACAAGACUAUGUGAACAACUUCCGGUACAUAAAUACUGACGACUUAACAUUUAAUAGACUCAACUCAAAUAAUUAGAUACUACCAUCACUGUCACAACAUCCAAGCAACUACCUUCAGACAGGGAGAUCCUUUUGGUGCCAUAUAGAUGCAAAAUGGGUGAAGAAACCUUGCCAGAUACAAUGCAUCAAGUUUCAAAAGAGAACAACAACAAGAGUACAUAAACUAAUUUCACCAUGAACACAGAACAAAACAAGAAGAAUUGCACCUUCAUUUUCAAUUUUUGCAUUUCUUUAUCAAAGAAAAUCAAGGAAAUACAAAAAAAUACCUGAAAGAAUCAGUGUAUGUUGAUAUUGUGCUGACAUCAAUCCCACAUGCCUGUGCACGUUCUACCAAUAAUUCUGGUACAUGGACACGCUGUGCUCCAGAAAUUAUCUCCUCACCUAACAGACAUGGGUCAAGUCAAUAAAAUUCACAACCAAUUAGUAAAAGAGUAUCAUAUCUCCAUUUGAUACACAUUUAAAACAUGUCCAAGCAUGCACAUAUUCAAGACUCCAGAUAUAAAGCAAACAGUGUAACACUCAUACUAAUGAGAUAAAAAUACUCAUCAAAUGGUUUACCUCGAAUAAAGACAUCAAAUGAGUUACUGUAUUUUGGAUCAUCGUAGCAUGGCAUGGUGUAGAAUGGCCUAACAGCCAAAGGAUACCGGUGAAGAAUGUAAAACUCAGUGCCGUACCUACCAUAAGAAGUAAGGAUUAGCCCAUUUGAUUACUUUGGCUACAAUAGAGAAAAUUCCCCAGUCAAUAAAUUGAACACAGAAAAUAUGAAAUUACUUCUCCAAAACAAGCUGGCCAAGUUUUCUCUCUGAUUCUGUAUUCAAGUCCCCAUAAGGAUCAAUUUCCACUCCUGCUUCCUGCAAAAGGAAGUUGAAUUUACGAUUGAGCAUGUAACAUUUUCCAUAGGUAGGCAGCAGCUGUAUGUCAGCCUUAGCAAGCAUAAGCAGCAGUUUUAGUCGCUAUAAUUGAAAAACAACUAUUUUAUACUGUUGCCAAAUGCCUCACAUUUUGUUCUUCAUACAAAACCAACUUAACUGGCAUUUUGAAAAGAAAAUCAAGGACUCCAACAAACAUAAGAGUCAUGGAGAGAUUACACAAGAGCCCUGGACAAGUACUUUACGGUCUUCCCUUUCCAUCCUAUUUGUAUAUGGCUGUCGUACAUGACACCAUAUAUCGACAAUUAAAACAGAGAAAGCACCUUAAUGGGAUAUUCUGCCAAAUAACAGAUACAGAACUUCCUCAUAUAGUUCCUAGGUAGUUUCAGUUCAAAUCAAUCAUCAUAGCCAAAAACAUAUCCUCUCUAUGUAUAUGGUUUAUUCCAUAAAGAAGGGGGGGCAAAUUCUAAACUAAGAGCAUGUCAAAAUUCGAAAAACAGAACAUUUAUGGAAAUAAGAUCACUUAAUAACAGUUUAUGAGUGAAAGUUGUUGCAUGAAGUUUUACAUAUCAACAAAUUGCCUUUCUCGUGUAUAAGAAAUCAAACUUUUAACUCUUAAGUGAAAUGACCUACAUCAUAAAAGUGUGUACGUCAAAAUAGGUGGUAAGGGUUCAGUUCAAUAGCAGUGCAACGGAGGCCAUUCAGGAUCAGUGUCGAAUAACAUAUGUUGGCCAAUACCUCUUAUGCUCCCCUCUUCUUAAUAAGUCAAUUAUUCUCCCACCAUCCUAACACUGCUUGCAGACCUAAUCUUUACUACCUUAUUGGGAAACUAGUUAUUUACUGUCCUUGACCACAUCAUAUUGAACAUGCAAACAAUCAAAAAAAUUUAUAUCCUCUCAAGUUGCGCAUUCGACCCCCAUCUUCAAAUCUUAAGGACAGUGAAAGAGGGCAUUCAUGCAUGCAUAGAGACAUAUAUAAAUUUAUUCUCUUACCUUGAGCAUUUGAACCCCCUCUUCAAAUUUUAGGCGCAGAGUCUUUGGCAGGUACUGUGAGCAAGUAAAUAGGAGAGAUCAGGUGGAGGAUUCAAAAUGAUGCACAAGUUAGUGCUCAUAAAUCACACUUCUUAAAGUUUGUCCAAUAUAUUAGCAAUCAAUGUCUUGGACUCGAAAUAAUAAUAGUACUGAAAUUUGUUACAAAUAAUGACCUUCAAAGGUUCAAAUGGAUAUUGCCUCCCAACUGCUUCAAGAUCUUUGCUGCACUUUUUAUUCAAAUGGUCAAACAUUGUGACAAAUAAAUGGUCAACAAUAUCCAUCACCUGCAUAAACAAACUCAAAUUUUCAGCUAAACAUCAAUCAUCAUCUCAAUUCAGAUGCCCUUGACUAGCUAACCAAACAGAAUCCUACCUCGGUGUAGUGUUGCUUAAUCUCCAUUUCAACAUCAAGACCGGUAAACUCGCAUAAAUGCCUAUGAGUGUAAGAAUCCUCUGCCCUAAAAACUGGACCAAUCUCAAAAACACGCCCAAAAUCACCACAAAUUGCCAUUUGCUUGUGAAGUUGAGGUGACUGAGCCAAGCAGGCAGCUUGCCCUUUGUAGUCCAGCUUAAACACAGCAGAGCCACCUUCACUGGAGCCUGCUAUCAGUUUUGGUGUGUGGAUUUCAACAAAAUCUUCUGACAAUAAGAACUGCCUGAAUAUCUGCACAAUGGUAUAAUACAUUCAAAGACUGAGAUGUAUAGUCGUGCAAUAAUUGUGUAUGUGCAUGUGUGAGAGAGAAAGGCAGGUGGGGUGGGGGGAUUAGUCUGACACAUAGAGCUCCUAGAUAUUCAGUGCACAGACAACUAGAAACUGCAUACCAUACAAAGACAAGAUAUUAUUUCUGUUAAAUUAGUAAAAGGUUAUCUUGUUCCUCUGAAAAUAGAGGAUAUUUUUUUGCUUGUUGAAAAUGAAAACAAGAAAUAAUACAAUUUAAAGGAGAGGAACAAAAAUAGGAGAACAAAAGAAAUAAAACGUUCCUCUUUUUCUGUUUUUAUAAUUCCAAUAAAUAAUAUAUUACAGGAAGAAAGAGGUCCCUGUAAAACAAUGAACUUGACUCGAUAAAAGUAGGUUGAAUUCACCAAGGUAGUGAGCAACUCAUGAUUUUCAAGUGUUUAUAUAAAUAUUUACACAACACAAUUAAACCACAAAGUAAGGAGGAUGCAAAUGUAAGCCUGCCUAUACCAAGUUUAAGAAACCCAAGAAAGACAUUUUCCAAGCGUCUGAGCAAUGGACAGAACUAAUUAAGAAUUUUUUCUUUUAACUGUUGAGGAUGACAACAAGUACUCAAGCAUUUGACAAAACCCUUGUUGUUUAUGAUAACUAGCCACAAUUUCUGUCAUUUCUAGAAGGCAAGAUUUCUGUGUCAAGUUUUUUUCUUCUUACGUGUGCUAUGAAACAUUCUCCACGAACCUCAAACAUUCAAUCCCAGAAUGUGAACAACACUUGAUGAAAAUUUUAUUAACCGUACAACACCUAAACUUGAACGAAUUAUGAAGAUGCAAAAGUAAAUAUCUUUACCAUCACAAAAAAAAAGGUUAGAAAAAAGAAAGGAACUCACAUUGCAAACUUGACAUUGAAUGCGGAAAAUCCCUUGGUUAGCAGAUGUUCGAAAGUCCAGAACUCUAUAAUUCAGCCGAGUAUCUUGAUUGACACGAACAAGUUGUUCUCCAGCCUGCACGAGUCAAACAGUCUAGUAUUUGGAUUGAACUAUUUAAGAAGUAGUUCUAAAAAAUUACAGCUACCACAAAAUAACCAGGAAACAACAGAGACGAGAUUAAAUUUAUACCUCCAAAGCCUCUUCAAUUUCCUUCUCACUUCGAGAAGCAUCCUCAAUAUUAAUGGGAAGUGUCGGCAUAGCUUUGUCAACACAAUAAAGCUUACUAACUUGAAUCUCAACCUGCAAAAAAGAAUUAACAAACAUAAGUAAUUCAAAAAGAAAAAACCAAAAAAAAAAAAAAAACCAGACCUGCUGUGUGGUGCCCUUAAUAGCAAUAGAGGGGACAGAAACAACGCCAUGGAUAUCAACAAUUGACUCCCGGCUCAAUCCAGCGGCAAACUUGACCAUCUGUUUACUAACGACAUCAGGCCGCGCAGUAACCACACACUGCACAGUAAAACCUUUCGCUCUAACCACAACAAAUGCCAUAUUUUUUCCAACAGCACGCGUGGUUUGCGCACGGCCGCGAAUCAACACCUCUUUUUCUGUCAACUCAUGAGUCAGGUUUCCGACUUGUGUCCAAGCUUUUAGAUCUGCUUCCACCUUCGAUUGCAGAUCUUGAAGCGGAAUAUUACCAUAGUUCGCCGCGAGUGGGUCCUCCUCGAUAGAAAGUGAGGACGCGGCGGCGGCGGCCAAAGCGGCUUCCUGACGGCGACGUAACUUCUCUUGCUUUGCUGCUUCCUUCUUUGCAGCUUUUUUGCUCGCUGAUUUUGAGGAUUCAUCUUCUCCUUCUUGAUCUGGUUUGGGGAUUUCGGAUUCGGAUGACAUGGUGAUUGCGUUGAUGCUACUGGCGAGAGUAACGAGUGAAUUAGGAAGGAGAAAAUAAACGAGAUGCGAAGAGAGAUAGAGAGGUAUACAAUUUAUAUAAAUAUUUAACUCGUUUUUAUAUUUAAAAAGUUGCUCUAUUAUUAUUAUUUUAAUAUCAUUUAUACAUUAUUAAUUUACUUGUCCCGCUACAUUGCUGAUUCGAUUACAAAAAAUUAAAUAUAUAAUUAAUAUUCAAAUUAUAAAAAUAAAAUUAAUAUUGUUAUUAAAUUUAGCAUAAUUAGUUAAUCUUUAAACUUUUUCAUAUAAUUUUUUUUGCUAGAGUUUUAAAUUAAAUCAUAUAAAAAUUAUUUUGACAUAACUCAAUCAACUUUGCGGGUUUAAAAAUAACUCGGAUAACUAUUAAAAGCAUGGUUAGACUUUAAAAUAUCUUCAAGUUGGUAUUUUUUUUUAAUAUUAAAACAAUUAUAUAUUAGAUCAACUCAGGUUUUAAAGCUUAAUAAGUCAAACUCAUGACCCGAAUAAUACACUCUACUAGGUUUAAUAUUUUUGUUUUCUAAAACUAUUUUUACUUGGUUAUAUGAUAAAAAAAAAAUAUUCAUGAAAUCGAAUAUCAACAAAAUAUUGAAAGUUUGUUAAAAUUUUAAUAAACUUAUAAAAAGUAAAUCGAAACAAAUUAUGAAUUUUAAUUAAAAUCAACCAAUAUUGAAUGAUGAAAUUGAAGGGAGGAAAAUCUUUUGAAUCGAUUUCUUGUCCAGCUCAAGUUUUAAAUUAAACCAUAUAGAAGUUGUCUCGAUGUGAUCCAAUCAACUUGACGGAUACAAAAACAACUCCGAUGACUUGUAAAAAUGUUAUUAGACUUUAUAAAGACUUAAAAAUGAUAUCUUAUUUUUUUUUAAUAUUGAGACAAUUAUAUAUUGGACCAACUCAAAUUUUAUAGCUUAACAUGUCAAACCUACAAUCCAAAUUAUGAACUCUACCGGACUUAAUAUUUUUAUUUUUAAAACUAUUUUCUACUUAAUUAUAUGAUUAAAAAAAUAUUUGUAACAUCAACUAUCAACAAACUAUUGGCAGAUUGUUUAAAAUUUAAUAACCCUAUAAAAAAUAAAUCAAAAUAAAUUAUGAAUGUUAAUUUAAAAUUAAUUAAUAAUUGAAUAAUAAAAUUAGGAAAAAAAUUGUUUUCAAUACAAUUUUACCAAAAAUCUUUUUAAUGUUUCUAGCAAGUUGUAAUUAUUGCUCUUUUUUUUAUGCUAAAUGUUUAUUUUAUUGCAAUUCUAACUCUUGAGUCAUAAACAUACAAUAUUGAUUAUUAAUAAAAAUCUAAAAGAGGAGGAGAAGUUAAUGUAGCUUAGAAAGGAAUCAUUAUUCAGGAUAGUGGUUUAAUAAAAAUAUUUUCCUAUUUAAUUAGACAUUGAAGAUAAGGUGGUUUUUUGAACAUGAAAUAGUUAUUUUUUACAAAUUAUAUAGGGUUAACAAAAAACUAAAGGAAAAUGAGAAGUUAUUGUAACUUUAGAAACAAAUCAUUGUUCAUUAGAGUAAUGAUUUUACAAAAUUAUCCCUAGACAAAAAAAAAAACCCCUUGGUUCAUUGAAGGCAACAUGGUUCGAGACAAUUAUCUUUUUAUAAAUUGUACGAUGUUAACAAGAAUCUAAAGGAAAAGGAGAAGUUACAGUAAUUCUAUAAGCAAAUCAUUAUUUAUUACGAUAAUAAUUUAACAAAAUUAUCCUUGACCAUUUCACUAGACAUUAAAGACAAAAUAAUAUUUCCACCAUGACAUAAUUAUCUCUUGCAAAUCGUAUGAGGUUAACAAAAAUCUAAAGGUAAAGGAGAACUUAUUGUAGCUCUAUGAACAAUCACUAUUCAUUAGAAUAGUGAUUAGACAAAAUUGUUACUGAUCUAGAAACCAUUUAAUUAAACAUUGAAAGCAAUAUGAUAUUUUCACUAUAAUAUAAUUGUUUUUUACAAUUUGUAUAGGAUUAACAAAAUCUAAAGGAGAAGUUAUUUGAAUAAUGAUUUGACAAGAUAUUGAAGGCCAUGUGAUAUUUCCACCAUUAUAUAAAUUGUCUUUUACAAGUUGUAUGAGGUUAAAUUAGUCAUUUUUAUUUUUGUUGCACAAUACAUUUAUCAAUUUAACCAUGGAAUAAAAAAAUAUAAUGUCUUUCACUCAAGGAUAUUUGGGUCUUUUAAAAAAUCAAAAUAACCUAACUUCAAAGUCAAAUAAAACAAAAAUAUAUUACAAGUGUAAGUCAUAAGUUGAUCUAAUUAUUAAAAUAUUAAAGUUUACAAAUCAAUUGUAAGCUUUAAAGCAACCGUUUAAUAUUCUAAAUAUUUUCCAAACUAUCUAAAAGAUUUAUAAAUAAAUAGAGGGUGAAAGCCACGCACUUAAUAAUUAAUAGUUUAUAUCUCUAAUUUGAUCAAUUAUGUUGAAACUUACUAAUAUAUAUAACUUAAAAUCAAUUCAUUUAUUAUACUAGAAUAUUAAUACUUUCAAAAAUUCAGAAGUCAAAAAGCACACUUAUAAAUCAUUCAUAAAUGUAAAUAAUUUAAAUCAAUAAUUUUGAACACAAACUUAGAUUUUGCACCCAUAUUCAAAGCUAAAUUUAGAGUAAAAAAACUAUAGUUAAUCUAACCACAAUAAGUCAUAUUUUGCCCCAUAACCAAGCAUUAAAUUCUAAAUAAACAUGUUUAUAAGUGCCAAUGUAAAACCUUGAAAAGUCGGGUCCAAAAUGUAUAGUUACUCUUAUCACAAUAACAAUGUCUCAUGUUUUUUCCUAUGACUAGAUAUCAAAAUAUAAAUACAAAUAUCUAUAAAUAUCAAUGUAUAACCUCUAAAAACUGAGUCCAAAGCAUAAUCAAUUAAAAAAACUUCAUUAAAACAGCAUUCACUCUUUAAAAAUGAUUAAAAAAUCAAAUAUAAAAAACCCUUGAUUUUUAAACCUUUUUGAGUAAUUCUAACAUGCAUGUAAAAUCUCAAUUAAAAGAUAAUAAUAAAUAACACACGCCUUAAAUCAAUAAAAAAAAAAGUAAAGAUUUUUUGCUCCAGUUCAAAUCUCUCUCUUGAUCUUCUUCUCUUUCUUUGUUGAUGUGGAUUUUGAUUGUACGACAAAAAAGAGUGCAAGUUAAUUUAGGAUUUUAUUUUAUUUCCAUUCUAUAAUUUAUCAUGUAAUCACUAAUAUACUCAUGACUAUUACUUAUAAUACCCUUAAUUAAUAAUAAAAAAAACAUAAUGGAAAACCUAAUUAAUUAUUUUUUUUAUCUAUUAUUACUAUUUUUAAAUCAACAUAUAUAUAAUUAUCAAAAAAUGUGAAAUGUCCAAUAUUCCCCUAAAAGUUCUGGUUAUUACAUCUUUACAACUUACAAUCAAUUUAAAAAAACAAACAAACCGCACCCUUACAUAAAAAAUCUUAAGAUCAAUGUAAGAACUAUGAGAUGGUCAUAUUUUCAAAAUAUUCAAGAUAUCAUUAGAAGAAAAAAAAAAGAGCUAUAAGAUUGAAAAGAAUCCCAAGAAAGGUAACAACUUCUCUCUUAAACCCAAAUAGCAUAACUAAAUCACAAUGUUACACAUGCAUUUGUUGGAAAGUCAAAUCUGUCUGUCAUAUCCUUUGUAUCAUUAACAAGUAUUUGUUUCCCGUUUGUAUUCCUUAAUUAUAGUUAGUUUCCUUAGAGUUCUGCUGAAUUGUAGCUAUGACAGCUUAAUUAUAGGAAGUGAUAGACUUGUAGAAAAUAGUUAGCAAGUUGUAUAAGUUUGCACUCUGACAUCAAUGAAAAUUAAUCCAACAAAUUCUCUCUUUUAUUCACUUUUUCAUGGAUUAUGUCUGCUCCACCGUUUACUCCAACCAAUCGACUUCCCUCGUUCCAAUUUCGACCAAAGGUACACGCUACCCACUGUCAAAUUUUGUUUCAUAUCAUAGAUACCAGCCUGCUUAUCACUCCUUUGUUGCCCAAAUUGGUACUGUCACGGAGCCCAAGUCUUAUUCUGAGGCAGCCGCUCAGCUUGAGUGGCAAGAAGCAAUGCAUUCGGAAUUACAGGCUCUCAAAGCUAAUGGCACUUGGUCCCUCACUCCUCUUCCGGCUGGUAAGACUCCCAUUGGUUAUCGUUGGGUUUUCAAGAUCAAACAUAAGUCUGAUGGAUCAAUUGAGCGGUAUAAAGUGUGCCUUGUGGCAAAAGGUUUCACUCAAUUGGAGGGGAUUGACUAUCAGGAUACUUUCUCUCCAACAGCUAAGAUCAUCUAUGUUCAUUGUUUAUUGGCUCUGGUUGCUGCCCGUGGCUGGUCUCUUCAUCAACUCGACGUUAAUAGUGUUUUUCUCCAUGGUGACCUCCACAAAGAAAUUUACAUGUCUCCACCGCCGGGGCUUCGAAGAUAGGGGAGGAACACUUGUUUUGUCGUCUCCACAAGUCAUUAUAUAGGUUGAAACAAACAUCUCGUCAAUGGUUUGCUAAAUUCUUUGAGGCCAUCCGUUCAGCUGGGUAUGAACAAUCAAAAGUUGAUUACUCUAUGUUCAUCAGAAAGCAAGGCAAGUCCUUUACUACUCUUUUGAUAUAUGUUGACGAUAUUUUAAUUACUGGCAAUGAUCCCGUGAGUAUAACUGAUAUCAAGAAGUUCUUGCAUAAUAAAUUUCACCUUAAAGACCUUGGUAAAUUAAAGUAUUUCCUUGGUAUUGAGAUUUCUACAUCUAGGACUGGUAUUUUUAUUUCUCAACGGAAGUAUGCAUUGGAAAUCAUUAAGGAUGCAGGUUUAUUAGGGGCAGCUCUCAUCAAUACCCCCAUGGAACGUGGUUUAAAAUUGUCUGACAGGAGUGAGCUACUCAAAAAUCCAGAACAAUAUAGGCGAUUAGUUAGGAGAUUAAUAUAUCUCACAGUUUCAAGGCCAGAUAUUACAUAUUUUGUCCACAUAUUAAGCAGGUUUAUGCAUCAACCUCAAAAAGAUCAUUGGGAAGCAACUUUACGGGUUGUGCGGUAUCUAAAAUCUAUGCCUGACCAAGGCCUCUUCUUCUCCUCAACCAGUGAUCUUCGACUGCGAGCUUACUCUGAUUCAGAUUGGGCAGGAUGCCCUCUUACAAGAAGAUCGACUACAGGAUACUGUGUAUUUCUAGGCCCCUCAUUAAUUUCAUAGAGGUCGAAGCGCCAGAAAACAGUCUCCAUUUCUUCAGCCGAAGCAGAGUAUCGUGCAAUGACAAGAGCUUGUUGUGAAUUGACAUGGCUUCGUUAUUUACUUAGAGAUUUGGACGUUUUGCAUCCAGAGUCUGCAUUGCUAUAUUUUGACAAUAUGGUUGCAAUACACAUAGCAACAAAUCCAAAGUCAAAUUUGUCUGUCAUAUCCUUUGUAUCAUUAACAAGUAUUUGUUUCCCGUUUGUAUUCCUUAAUUAUAGUCAGUUUCCUUAGAGUUCUGCUGAAUUGUAGCUAUGACAGCUUAAUUGUAGGAAGUGAUAUACUUGUAGAAAAUAGUUAGCAAGUUGUAUAAAUUUGCACACAUCAAUGAAAAUUAAUCAAACAAAUUCUCUCUUUUAUUCACUUUUUCAACAUUAUCGUUAAAGAAAUCACCACUUGCAUAUAACAAAUAUUACUAUGCCUAAUUAAUUAUUAUAAAUAUGAAUAAUAAACAAUAAUUAUAUGGAAGUUAUAUCAAAAAAAUAUAUAUAUUACGUUACAAAAAUUCAUACUUUAUUUCCAACAAAAACAUGCAUGAAGGUCAGAUCACCCGCAUAUAAGCAGGUUACUAGCUCGUUUUUUCUUUAAUCAUAAUAGUUAUAAAAAAAAUAUCAUUUUCAAUGAAAAAUAUUUUUUUAUCUUAUAAAAGGAGAAAAUAUUAUUUAAAAUCGUAAAAAAACAUUUUAUGUAAUUAAAAAUUGAAAAAUGUAUAUAAUUAUUGCAAUGCAAAUCUUAUCUUAUUAUAUUAUAAAUUUAAAACACUAACCAUAGCAAGCACCAUCAAAUUCAGAAUUCAAUCAUUAAUUGUUAUUUUUAUGUUUCAAUGGAGGGAUGACACAAAGCAUGUCAAGAGUGUAAUGGCAAAAUAUGCCUUAGAAUACUUUCUUGUUAAACUAUAUAUUAAUAAAUAAACUUAAAAGAAAAAUUAUUUCCAAAUUGCAUUAUAUUAUCCAUAUAAAAUAACUUAAUAAAUUCAAUUAUUUUUUUUUACUUUUAAUUAAUUAUAAAACAUUUAUUAACAAGUUAAAUAAUAUUUUUUAUCUAAAAAUAAUUAACAUCAUUUAAUAAAUUUAGACAUCAAUUGACACUAAGAUAAUAUUUGAAAUCGUGGUAAUUGUUUUUUUUUAAAGUAUUUUUUAUUUUAAAAUGUAUUAAAAUAAUGUUUUUUAUUUUUAAAAUUUAUUUUUGAUAUUAACACAUUAAAACGAUCUAAAAUCAUAAAAAAAUUAAGUUGAAAAAAAAAUUUUAAAUACAUUUUGAAUACAAAAACAAAUAUACUCGGAAUUCCUUAUUCAAACGUGAAUUCCUUUUGGAAAGUGAAUUCCGGGGAAAGUGAAUUCCUGGAAAGUGAAUUCCGGGAAAGUAUUUUCCGAUGUUUGGUAGUGUUAUGGAAAAUGAACUGGAAAACACUUUCCAGUGUUUGGUUAUGUCAUGGAAAAUGAGCUGGAAAAUAACUUAUUAAUAUUUUAUUUUUCUCAAGUUUAUUAAAAUAAUGAGGAACAAAUCUUACAAAUUAAAAAGUUGAAUGAGAAUGAAAUUGAAAAAAAUAUAUAAUUUCAUAAAUUAUCUCAAAUAAAACAAAUAAUAAUCAAAAUAAUAGGGAUCAAAUCUAAAAAAUUAAAAAAAAUGAAAAAUGAAGAAAUUAAAAUAAUAAUAAUCAACAUUUCAUAAAUUAUUUCAAAUAAAAUAAGUAACAAUCAAAAGAAUGAGGAUCAAAUUUGAUAAAUAAAAAAUUUCAAUAAAAAAAUGAUAAGAAAAAAGCAAAUAGCAAUUAUAAAAAUAAGGACCAAAGUUAAUAUAAAAAUAAAAUUUUAAGAGAUGAAAUUGAAAAAUAAAUAUUCAAAACAAAAUAUAUAUAGCAAUCAAAAGUUUGAGGAUCAAAUUUGAUAUAAUCAGCAAAUAAUGACAUUUCUAAAUUUUCACAACUUCCGGAAAGUGUUUUCCCCUCAAAUUUUUCAGGAAAACACUUUCCUGAAAACCAAGCCAAAUUUUCCUUUUACUGGAAAGUGUUUUCCAUUGACCAACUUUCCUACUGGCAAACAAACACAAGAAAGUUUGGAAAGUGCUUUCCCGGAAACCACUUUCCGGAAAACAAACACAGCUAAAAGGAAAACACUUUCCUGAAAACCAAGUCAAUUUUUUUUUUGACUAAAAUUGACUGGAAAGUGUUUUCCGUUGACCGGAAAGUGUUUUCCGCUGACCGGAAAUUGUUUUCCGUUGACCAACUUUCCUAAUGACAAACAAACACAGGAAAGUUUGGAAAAUGGUUUUCCGGAAACUACUUUCCGGGAAACAAACAAGGCCUAAAUACAAAUACAUUUGCAGUUAACACGCAGUAGUUUGAACUUUGAAGUUUUGAGUUUCAAAAACUUCAAAACAUGGCUGGUCCCGUGAUCUAGUUUAAUUUGUUGAUAAUCGCAAGCCUUUAUGGGCCCACAAGGCUAGAUCCAGAUUAAUUCAAAUAAAUAAAAGGCCCAAUCCUCAUCAUCCUCAUGAUGUUUUGAAAUUUUAAAAACGAACCCAACGGUCUAGUGCUUUCAAAUUCCUCAACCUGAUCUACUAUUUCAGUUUCUUUGUUCUCUCUGGAAAGUGGAAUCCUCCCUACAAAAAUCACUAAGCGUUUAAGCAAUGGAAGUUCAAAACUGUUCAGUAAAAACACCCAAAUUCCUUCAAACAAAACCCAUGGACCCCAGCUGCACCUCUAAGGUUAGAGUAAUUGUAAGGGUACGCCCCUUUCUCUCUCACGAAAUUCCUGCAAAAAAUAGCAACCCAACUUCCUGUAUUUCUGUUCUUGAUCCAGAUCCUGACUCCAGAGAUGAAGUCACUGUUCAUCUUCAAGAUCCUGACACCAGGUCAGUGCCUUUUCUUUUACUUUCUCUACGGGCUGCUGUUAAUAAUUUCGUGGGUUUUUUUAAUUGUGGUUUCUUUUCUGUUCUCAUUUUUUAAUGCGCAGCCGAAAGGAGUGCUAUCAGUUGGACGCUUUUUUUGGUCAAGAGGAUAACAAUCUUAGAUCCAUUUUUGAGAGAGAAGUGAGCCCUUUAAUUCCCGGGAUGUUUAGGGGCCGUAAUGCUACAGUUUUUGCUUAUGGAGCUACUGGCAGUGGGAAGACCUACACUAUGCAGGUAUGCUCCCAAAAGAGACUCCCAGCUCCUUUUCUUUCCCGGAGCAGUUCAACUCCUAAAUUAGUACAGCUUGUUUGGCUGCUGACAAACCUAAGGAAAAAGAAAGAAAAAGUAAAGGGCUAACCUAACCUCAUACUUUUGGGUCCCCAUCCUAUCACAAAUCCUCAAUUACUCCUUCCGUCUAAAAUCCUUGUAAUAUUUUUACUGAAAACGUUAAGUUCUUAAAAAUUGCCUCAUUUUAUUACAAUAAAUAGGUAUUUAAAAUGGAAAACAUUAGACGGUUUUGAAUGGAGACCUAAUUGAGAAUUUUCUGGUACAUUAGGGGUUAUUGGUGUAUGGUUGGAGAUUAAUCUGAGGUGACUUGGAAGCGUUAAGCUGUUUUGCUGUUGGGAAUAAAGUCUUUAGCAAAUAUAGUAGCAUUGACGUUCAGUGUAUAUGCAUUUUGUUACUUAAGAUUUAGCAGCCAGUGAAUUUUGAGUUUUUUCGCUGUUAUAAGUGAGUCUAAGGCCACUGAGACAUGGUUGAUGCUGCAGGGUACCAACUUGUUGCCAGGGCUAAUGCCACUGGCCAUGUCCACUAUCCUGUCUAUGUGUCAGAGAACAGGAAGUAGGGCAGAGAUUUCAUACUAUGAAGUGUAUAUUGAAAGGUGUUAUGAUCUAUUAGAAGUUGGAUCGAAAGAAAUUGUUAUUCAGGAUGAUAAAGAUGGGAUGGUGCACCUCAAGGGACUAUCUCGAGUCCCAGUCAAUUCAAUUUCUGAAUUUCAAGAGGUGUUUUCUCGUGGAAUUCAGAGGCGUAAAACUGCAGACACAGGUAUCAAUGAUGUCUCUAGUAGGAGCCAUGGAGUUCUUGUGGUAGCUGUCUCCACACCAGGUAGCGGUGAUUCUGGGACUGUUGUGUCCGGGAAGCUUAACCUAAUCGAUUUGGCAGGUCAUCUCUACACGAUACCUACUCAAAAUUGACCACGAUUCGGUUAAUCUAGACUCUGUUUUUCUUAUUUCUAUUUGUUAUUUUAUCAGGUAAUGAAGAUAACAGGAGGACCUGUAAUGAAGGGAUACGUCUACUAGAGAGUUCUAAAAUCAACCAGUCAUUGUUUGCAUUAUCUAAUGUUAUCCGUGCACUGAACAACAAAGAACCCCGAGUACCAUAUCGAGACAGCAAAUUAACUCGUAUUUUGCAGGACUCUCUUGGAGGAGCCAGUCAUGCUUUGAUGGUUGCUUGCCUUGUAAGGAGCAUUCAUUCAUCCAUCUUGUCAUCAGAUGCUCUUAACAUUCUUGGAUACGUGAUUUUAAUUGUGUUUGUCAAUGGUAGAAUCCAGGAGAGUACCAAGAAUCUGUUCGAACAGUGAGCUUGGCUGCUAGGUCAAGGCACAUUUCAAAUUUUGUUCCGUCAACCCAUAAACAAGAUACUCCGAAGGUUAAAGUUGAUAUGGAGGAAAAACUGCGAACUUGGCUUGAAUCUAGAGGGAAGACAAAGAGUGCACAAAGAAUAGAUGCAUAUGGUUCUCCAUUCCCUCCAAGUUCUAUCAAGAAACCAAAUUACAGCUCCGCAAAAGCUAAGGUCAACACCUACCGGAACACUUGUGACGCUAAAGAGAGGUAUGGACUUAAUUAAGCUGAUGAAAAUCUCCAAUUAAAUUGAAGCCUAGUUAUUUGAAAGUGUCGAAUUAAAUUGCGGUCUGAUUAUUUGAAAUUCUCAAAGCACAACUUGAUCUUUUUUCUUUUUUCCUAUUGCUGAUUUAUAUGGUUAGAUCCUAAACUGAUUUAUGUUGUUCACGAUAUGCUUAAAUCUUACGCAGGGGAUCGUCUGUACCAUUCAGAAGUUUAUUUAAUGAUGAAGGUUUAACUGAUUCAUGCUUGGCAGUGAGUUCUUAGCAACUUGUGUCAUUUGCAGACUUGUUUCCUUCCACAGAAACAAAUAGAUGUUAAAUUUUAGUAUUUAACAUAUAAAUCUAAAUUCAAUUUUCAGAGUACGAAUUGUGCUGCCGAGGAAAAUAGGGAAAAGAUUGGUGCUGAUUCUACUGAAAUUUCCUUGGAAUCAUCAAUACACUUACCCAGUAUGCAGCCACUAUCCGAAGACUUGUUAUUUUCUUGUUUCAUGCAUCUAAGGAAUCCAAUCAAAUUUGAAUUAAUUUUAGUUUAUUUUAUGUUAAUCUAUAAGAGGUUUCUUAAGGAUUUAAAGGUGAAAACUUUGCAAUUAUGUAGUUGAGCCAUUGGACAAGGAAUAUAAGAUAACAUCAACAAAGUCAAAUAACUCAGUUGGAACAUCACCCAUUGCUGAAGUGAAGUGUACAGAGAGAAGUCCUUUAAGAAAAGUUCUCUCCCCCAUCAAUGCAAAUGUAAACCAAAUUCGCCACGAGGAAGUAGCCUGCAAGUGUCCAGUUCAGUUUGAGCCAAAAACACCUUCUACUGCAACCUGUGCAAAAGACAAGUUUGUAACAAUCAGCACCCCACUUGACAAAUUUAAUGCAAUCAGUUCUAGUUUAAAGGUAAAAUAUAAGAAUCAACUUUGUAAAGCACACUAAAGUUUCUUCAAGUUGUAGAUCUGAUUUCUAGAAAUUUGAUGUGCAGAGCUCUCUUAUGCAAGAAUAUGUUGACAUCUUGAAUACCGCUAGCAGGUAACUUCUGCUCAAACCCCUACAUUUUGUUUUGAUUUUCGAAGUUUUGUACAAAGAAACUAAACUUGCAAUUGGCUAUUUCAUUUACAGAGAGGAACUGUUGGAAAUAAAGGUAACCUCAGCAGAUUGAACAAUCAUGUGGCUUCCAUGACUUUUCUGUUAAUUCCUUACGACCAUCUUGCUCAUUAUGCAGGGGAUUGGAGUGAGAUUAGCAGAUUACAUAGCUGAACUCCGGGAAACAAGCCCUUUAAAAUCGGUAAGCACGACCUGUAAACCUUAUCAAGAACAGGUUUUUCAUGUUCUUAUAUACUAGUACUGUUAGUAAUAUACUAACGAUAUAUGGUUUUUCAUGCUGCAGCUGAGUGAUUUAGAGAAGAUUGGUCUCUCGUCUAAGCAGGUUUACAACAUGUUCAGCAAAGCUGCAAGAGGCAUCUUUGAUAAACAAGACGGUGCGCAGCUCAGAGAAGAGUUAACGUGACUGGUUCCUAUGGAUAAUUCAUCCAUGGAAAUAGGAUCAAAUUUGGUUAACUAUAACAAUGAUGUAGAAAUAGCAAUGUAUGUCCUUAAUUUGCUUGUGUGAGAGUGAGACUAAUUUGAUGCAGUAGGCUUUACUGCUUUCAUUUACAGAGAGCAGUCAUUGAAGUAGAUUAUUACCUCGACACUAAAAUAACAGUGAAGUAUUUUAACAUAUGUUUUUAAUCAUGUUUUAACAAAAAAAAAUUUGUGUGUUUAAAGAUCGUAGGUUCGAGAUAUUUUUUUUUUUUGAACAAGGACGAACAAGAUGUUGUCCUUACCUUUUAAAAAAUAAAAACAAAGCAGUCAAGUGCGUGGGCUGACUUGCUACUGGUGGACCAAGUAUUGGCCCGCCUUUAUAUUGUGAUUGACAACCUGUUUGGUUUUUUUAUAUAUAUAAAAAAUAAACGUUAAUGAUAUGUGAUCGACCAGUCAUGCAGGCCUGACCUGUUACUGGUGGGACACCUGUUACUGUCGGGCCUCACGACUUAACUAUCUUUCUUCUUCUUCCCUUUAUUUUUUUAUUUUUACAUUCUGAAAAAGAUUUAGUUGUUUAUUUACUUUUUAUUUUUAACAUGUUUUUUUAAAUAUUAUUAAAAAAAUUUAUUAAAAUUUGAAUAAGUUUUUCAAUUAUUAUGUAUAUGUCAUUGCGCACUAGUUAUUGCAGAUUAUCUCUCAAGUGGCAAAGAUUAUCUAUCUUAAGUAAUUGGCAAAAAAAAAAAAAAUCUAGACGCGCCAUUUACUCAAAAUUAAUUCUCUUAAAAUUAAUAUUUUUAAAUUAUUUUGAUAUAAAUUUUUAAUUACAAUUUUAUAAACUAACCAUGUUUGGAUAGAAAAUAAUUUAUGUUUUUUUAAGUAAAAAUCAUGUUUUUUAAAAUUUUAAAAAUAUGAUUAUUUUUUUAACUUUUACACAGAUAUGAUUUGUAUUUAAAAAAUAUUAUAUUUUUAAAAAAAUCAUCAUAUCAUACCUUCAUGCCAAACAAUCUCAAAAGCUCAGGGAUGCGGUAAUUAUUUUUUUAAUAUAUAUACAAAUCACACCUUCAGAAGUAAAAAAAUACAAGCUUCAAGCUUUUUAUAUAGGCUCUACUAAAACAAGCCAAACCACCUCCAAACCAGCUAUUUAUUUUUUUAAAAAAAAUAUAUUUUUACAAACUUUAAUAAAUUUACUAUUUUUUUAAUUAAUUUUUAAUAAUUUUAAUAUUAAAAAUAAUUUAUUUCAAUAUAAAGAUAUUUUCGAAUAACAAAAACUUCAAAAAUAAUAUCUAAUCCGAAUAAACAAGGACAACUGGACGGUCAUCAGCAAGGAUAAUCCAGAGCAGAAAGUGGAAGGCCUAGUUUCGCGAUAUUUCCUUUUCUUUCUCUCCACCAUUCUUUUACUAUUGACGUGGCAUGCUCUGGCGGGCUCUAUCAAUCGGUUUCCAUGACAUGAAUGAAUGGUUCCAAAACUCAGUUGACCAAGACCAGCCUUUCGUUAUCUCUGCAACCUCCCAAGAUUCACAUUCCUCAAGAAAUCGCCUCUCCAAAUAAACCCUUAAAUAACCCAUUUAAAAUCCACCAGUAGUUUAUUUUCUUACAUAGUAGCGAUCAAACAGGUGAAAAAUCUUCAGAUUGGAUGAAUUAGUGUGUGCAUUCAGUCCGUCAGUUUCAUACAUGCAUACAUGAUGCAUGUAUGCCUGAAAAGGCAGACGCAGUACAUCCAUCACACACACACAAUCAUAAACAGAUAUAAUCAUAGCAACACUACCAUUUUAAUUAUACAAGAAAGAUAAACAGGACGACAAGCAGAUGACUCGACUUAAGAUCUGAUACUAGAGAGGAAGCCCCGGAGCUGCAAAUCCAAGAAGAUUUGCAGAAAACAAGCCAUGAAUAUUUACUAGCUACUUUAUUGAAACUUGUUGGAGACAAGAGACAACCCUCAUAAACGCCUAGUAGAUGAAAUAUUAGUUCUUGUCAAUCCCUCGAUGCGAUGAUCAUUUCUUGAAUCAACGCAGCCAGCGGCCGAUCGCUCUCAUUUACAAGUGCAAGGAUCGCAGGCACAGUUGGCUCCACACUUGCAGCCACUCUCGGCUCCCACGACCGUCUCAGCAGCUCCCUCAAAGUGACCCUUCUCUGGUGCCACGCCAAGAACCAGAGUUCCUUGGGUGGUCGUCUCUGAUGAGCUCAUGUCAGGGUACAUCUUGCAUCUGCAAGUUAACAACAUCAUUUUAAAAAUAAAAAGCAUCAAAACUAUCAAGAAUUAGGGGGAAAUAAUGAAUCAAUCUUACCCUCCACAGCCGCUGCCGCACUUGCAGCCAGAGCCACACCCACAGUUUCCUCCACAGCAAGACAUCUUCACGAAGAGGGUAUUAAGAGUAGGAGAUAUAAAACUGAAGAAAACUUAUGUCUGGACGAGUAAUAGGAGGAUGUGUAUACCCUCACUUUAUAGGCAGGUGAGGAGAGAGACUUCGAGGAUAUCCACCGUCCAUUUGUCAUGAUCCUACGUCAUGCUUAUCCCUGCAAAUCUGUCCAAAUCUGUACCCGCUUUCUAUACACGUUGCGGUUCUUGAACCCUCAAAUCCCUCCUUCGUUGGCUAUUCUGGUAUUUUCAAGUUUCAACACCAUUUUGUUGACCUUAAGUUUAAACCCCGUCGGAUUUGAUUACUUGGAGUUCAAUCCAACGGUGUUCCAUUUGCAGGAUGUCUUUUCGUGGGCCAGGACCGGCAUUUGGCAUCAAGAUGGGUCUCACUGUCCUUCGAUAUCACAUUGCAUUAAAAUUUCAUGCAAGGAAAUUGCGCGAAGUGUGGCUGCCACGAGAUAGUUUUUUUUUUUUUUUUUCGAGUCCUCGUUAUUAUUAUUUUUUUUAUUUGUAUGCAGACAUGUAAUUAUCUGUUAGCAUAAAAAAACGAUAAAUUGAUUAAUUCUUUUAGGCUUUUCUAAAAUUGCGUGGGAAAUCGGUAAAUUGAAUUUUUUUUGGAUUUUUCUAUAUUAACUUGAAGUAACUAAAUUUGUAGUGAUUUCAUGUAGGUAAUUAAUAUGAUUAUGUCAGGUAUAUAUAUUAGAAUUAAAAAAAAACUUGUUUACCGAGAGCCAACAUCUCAAAAACUUUUUAAAACUAAAUAUUUUUAUUAAAUCAUAUGAAAGGCAUUUAAAGUGUAUAUUACACAUUUGUUUCAAAUCAAUAGACAUUUAUAAUAUUUUUUAAACAUAUAUAAUUAUUGUAGUGUAAAAAACAAUAGCAAUAAAAGCUUUUUAUUAUUUUAAUAUUAUUACAUUUGAGUGAAGCUAAAAUUAUUUUAUUUGACACUUUAAAACUACUUCAUUAGACACUAGACUAUGACGAGUGUCUUGAAUUAAAACAAUAUUACAUACAUAAUAGUAAUUACUAGAUUAUUGGUACACGAUGUGAAUCAAAUUAAUUUUUUUUUAUUUAAGAAAAAUAUUCAAAACAUUGCUAAUGUGAUUUUCAAUAAACUUUUCUUGAUUGUGAACUUAAAAUAUGAUGUAUAUUGAAUAUUUUUUAAAAAAUUAUUGAUAUGGUGAUAUAUUGGAUGACACUUGCUUUUAAAUAUUGAAACGAUGAUAUAUUUAAUUAACUCGGAUUCAUUAGGAUAAAAUUGAAAAAUAUUAUUAAAUUACAAAAAAAAUCCCCGGUCAACCUACCAAACAAGCAACUCGAGUAAUGAAAUUAAAAUAACUCAAUCAAAAACAAAUAAAAAAAAUUAAAUAAGUUAAUUUUCAAUCAAACUAAUAUUUUUUAAAUUAUUUUUAUUUUUUAUAUCAUUAUUAGAGCAUCACAUUAAAGAAUUUUCAACCAAACUAAUGCUUUUCAAAUUAUUUUUAUUUUUUAUAUCAUUAUUAGGGCAUCACAUUAAAGUUUUUUUCUAGUACGGUUAGGUGACAUUGAUAACUUUAACAAAAGAUGAAUAGUUAGGUUCUGUAUUAAAAUAGUAUAAAGAUCAACUUUAUAUUAUUUUUAUUGGGAUGACUUAUGGUCUUAUUAGUGCGGUAUUGAUUAUGAAACUAAGAUAUUUUAUAAAAAUUAAAUAAAAAUUUUUUUGAAAUUCAAUUCUCAACCAACACAGUAUUAAAUGGUAAAAUUUUAAAAAAAUCAAUUAAAAAAAAUGAAAUAAAAACAUCUUGAGCUAACCUGGGUUAAUUUGUUAAGCAUUAUUCUUGGAUCAUGAUACUUAAAUAAUAUAAUAAAAAAUAAACAAAAUAAAUCAUAAAAUCUAAUUUUCAAUCAAACUAAUACGACAAUAAUAAAAUUAAAAAAAAACUUAAAUUAAUAGGAUUAAUCCAAUAAAUUUAAUAUUAAAUAAUAAAAAUAUAAAAAAAAAAUAAAGGAAAGAAGAAGCCUAUAUCAUCGUAAAUAUAAUAUUAAGUACGUGGUCCAUCUUGGAAGAAAAGGGAAGGUUUACUCCAAUACAAGCGAACCAAAGGGUGACAGCAACAAGCGUGAUUUACUCAAUUUUUACAGUCCUGGAGGCUCAAGGAAGGUCGCAAUUAAUAAUGUUGUUGAAGAGUACAAGUUUAACUAACACUCAAUUGAUUCCUCUCCGUGGGGCCCGAAGCAGAUAUGUCGUUUUCUAUGGACGGGGAAAAAAGUAAAAAUUUAACGCCCACCGUGGGGCUCGAACCCACGACCACAAGGUUAAGAGCCUUGCGCUCUACCAACUGAGCUAGACGGGCUACCCGGCACUGCCUACUGCACAUACAUUAACGCAUAUAAAGUCUAUCCCAUCAGGAGUCCAAAAUUUAACACCGAUAAACUUUUUCCUUCUGAAGAAUAAUGUCACUAGUUGACUGUGGUGAUAAAAGUCUAUGGUAUAGAAGUUUGAAAAAAAGGGAGAGAGCAUUGGAAAAUGACCAAGGGACUAUAGAAAAACAAAAAUAAAAGUGAAUCAGAUAAAUAAUUUUACGGGCGAAAAUAAAUAAAUAAAAUAUAUAGCAGAAGGUGAAGUGCACGCGCCUGACGAAGUAAUUUUUUUGUUCAUUAAGGGGGUGGGGGAUUGUCUGUCCCUUGUUUUUAUUUGAAAUAAAAAACACAAACGACAGAUCGGUUGUGUCUGUUGUAAAGAAAAUAUCGAGCGCCGUCUUUUUUUCUAACAUGCGGUCUCGGAUUUGUCCAGCACACUGAUCACUUAAGCUAAAAUAUGAAUUUAAUUUAAAGUGACGAAAGAAAUAUAUUAACUCAUUUUUUUUAGUUGUUAGUAUAAAACGUUUAAUGAUAUAUGAGAUGUUAAUAGAUCUAGUCAGGAUUUGUUUUUUAAAUAUAUCCAUAUCCAUAUUCAUAUAUUUAUUAUUAUCCUUUACCUUUUAUUCGUAUCCAAUCAGAUAGAUGAGGUCAGGUGAGGAUUUUUUUUUUUAAUCUUCAUUUAUUGGAUAUCCAACCUGAUCCAAUUCAGAAUUUUAAUUUAAAAAAUCUCUUUUAUUUUUUUUAUAUAUAUAUCCCACAAAAUUAUUUACUAAUACAAAGGAUCUAAGAUAUCUAAUAGUUUUAUUUUUCUAAAUCAUAUUACAAAUUUAAUAUUAGAUAUUGUGAUUUAAAAAACUAAAAUUAUAUGAUGUUAAUUCCAUGUUAAUUAGUAGUAAUUUGUUAAUAACCAGUAUAAUUAUUUACAUGAAUCAUUCAAUUAUGUAUUUAUUAUUUGUUAAACAACUUAUAGCAUGUACUUCUAACAAAAUUAACCAGUUAUCUAACUUAUAUAAUUUACCACAUAAUACUUUAGAGAUACUCCUUAUCUAUAAAGUUAUUAUCAAUUUCACCCUUCAUCAAUCACACCCAUCAAUUUCAUCCUUAAUGUUACCCUGUGUUUAUUUCAAUUCAACCCUUAUGUUUCACAUUCCAUCCAAUUAUGUUAACAAUCAAAUUUAUUAUUUAAAUUAAUAAAAGUUAAUGAAGGAAAAACAUUAAUUUAAAUUGAAAAUCUUGGAAAAAUUCAAAUCCCAUUUAAACUCAAAACUAAGAAAAUCUUAAGAUUAUAAGUUAAGAAAAUAAAAAAUCCAAUGAAACUCAAAAUUUAAAACUUAAAUUUGUUUUUAGUUUUUUAGGGUUUCAAAUAUUUUUAAUAUUGAUUUUAGAGUUGCAAUAUAGACAUUAACAUAUUAUAUUAAGUACUGGUUUGGAGGACGAGUGGACAAAAGGCAUAAUUGAAAACAUUAGAUAAUGUUAAGGGUAAAAUUAAGGGAUACAAUUACUAAAAAGGAAUAUUGAUAAUGACCCCAUAGAUGAAAGUUAUUUUUGUAGCUAACCCUAUUAAUAUUUAUAUCAACAAAGAACAAUUUUUACACUUUUUUAAUUAAUAAUUAUUUUUAAUAUCAUAUAUUUACAAUUUUAAAGUAAAGUUAUGAAACUUAGAUUGAUUUUGUAGGGUUUGCAAUAUUAUAUUUUACUAAUAUUUAUAUAUAUUAAAAGGAGUAAAAAUAUUGAAUCUAGUGUAAGUUAGAUGACAAGGCGGAUAAACUCUCCAGCCCGCUUUUAUAUCUGAUUUAGUAUUUAUUUGGAAAUGUGAUGCAACCCAUAUUUUUUUAAAUUUUAAAAUAUUUUUACUAUUUUUUUAUAUAUAUUUUCAAUUGUUUUUGUAUACAAAUUUUCACUUCUUAUACUUGAGAUACAAUAUUAGUAUUUUGAAAGCAGAAUCACUUGUGCACCAACCUGACACAAAUAGAAUUUAAAUCUUUUCAAGUGCCAAAAAUUUGUCAUCAAGGAUUUAAAUUAUUGGCCUUUUCUACAUAAAAAUGAUUGGCAGUGUGCUGUUUGCUUUGUAUAAUGGAAGAAACCUGACCAGUUCGCUAUGUAUCUUUUGUUUUCUUAUUCAAGAUAGUUAAGGGUCAACAUCGGGUAAAAAAUAAAAAACAUGAAAAUAAAAAGUUGAUUUUUUUUAUUAAUGUAAAUAUCUAGACUAAUUUUUAUAUAUUUCAAUUAAUUUUACAAACUUUAAAAUUAAUAAUUAUAUAAAUCUUUAAUAACUCUAAAAUUUAUAAAAUUACAACUAGUUAUAAAAAAAUAAUCUAGAAUCUUACAUCCUCAAGAUUAAUAAAAAAUUUAUACUAGAUAAGCUCAUUAGACGAGGAAGGGCGAAAAGAUGGCACGUCUUGAAAAUAAUCAGGAGGACGUAGUAGGACAACAAAUAAAUGUUGAGGAAUUUUACCUUCGAAAAUAAACUUACAGUGCACUAAAAUGCUUGGGUCCUGCCCAACAUUCUUCUUGAGAUCCAGUAUGAUAUAGAUUUUGUACAACCUUCUAAGCUUUUCAAUGUUUUUCUUUCUUUUAAUUUGUAAUUAAAUUUCAUUUUGGUUCUUUUGUUUUUCCUUGUUGUGUUUCUCCCACCAAUCUUCUUUCUUAAUUUUUUUUUUAAUUUUUAUGUUUUGAUUUUUUUUCCUAAAAAAAUAUCAACUAAAAAAAAAUAAUCAAAAUUAUAAAAUGAGCCCGUGAAUAGAUAAAGUGCGCUGAAAACAUAUUUUUUGAAAUUUCUUUUUGUUUUUUGGAUUUUUUUAAGAUACUUUGGAAAUGAAGUAUGACAAAAAUAAAAUAUAUUUCUAGUAUAAUUCCUACUUUCCUCUUUGUUUUUCCAUGAAGAAAUUUAACUUUUUCUUCUAUGUUAUUCAUUCAAUAAAAAUAAAAAAGCCAUUAGAACAAACAUAAAAUAAAAAAAUGGAUAUAUGAUUUUUUUCCAGGUAAGAAAGACAUCUCUCGAGGCAUAACUCUUUUAUCUCAUCAUGUGCUCUAUCGUUUGCCUGGCCUUUAUUUGCUAUAAUAUAUGGUUUUUACUCGUAAUAAUGUAUAAUAAAAAGCCCCAAUCAUUUAGCUUUUAUAUAUGACAUUCACAAUUAUUCAUGGUCUGGUCGAUGCAAUGAAUUUCAAAUGGGCCAGAUUUUAUAUUCAAACAAAGCCCAAACCAAAAGUAAAGUAAAAGAAUACAAAAUUAGUAGGCCUUUGGGUGGGCUAGGUGAAAAGGAAAACACCAUUUGGUCAGAGGUUCCAUUAAACUAGUAGUAGAAAAAUAAAAGGUACCCUUUCCUCCCAAACUUCUUGAGGUUUAUGGGGUGA